This 748-nucleotide unclassified non-coding RNA is filed under the name Hevea brasiliensis (rubber tree). Lineage: Eukaryota; Viridiplantae; Streptophyta; Magnoliopsida; Malpighiales; Euphorbiaceae. The record is from RNAcentral.
ACGGAACGGAUGACUAGCUGGCUAUUGGAAAAAAAAAAAAGAAAACUGACUAAUUGUAAAGCUCUACAUAGUUACACACAAAAGUUGUACUUAUAAAAUUAUUAAGUUGUGAACCUAAAUAAUAAAUUAAAAUUUGUACACUUAAUAAAAGUAAUUAAUUUUGAUUUAAGCAACUAAGCAUAUUUUCUCAAAUUAAGUUCUAAACUUACUAUUUAUUAGUUACUAUUUAAUGGAUGCAAACUAUCUUCAUCUUAUUAAUUAUUCAAGCCAAGCAUUAUUUAUUUAGCUAAAAAUUUAUGUAACCUAAGUUGACCACCUAAUUAACAAAUCAAAAAUAGAUUUAUUACAAUUUUUUAAAUAAUUACAGCUUUUUUUUUUAAUUUUAAUGCAUGGGUAUGGCUGCCCUUAGUUAAAAGCCUAAAAAUAAUUAUAUGUAGUAACAAGUAAGUGUAACAACAAAUAAAUAUAUCUAUGCUCUUAAUUAUCCGCUUAAAAAUUACUUAUUAUUAUUUAUGUAUACUUAAUAAAGAUUAAGAAGAUAGCUAAAAUUAGAAGGAAAAAACUCACCUUUUAUAAGUAUGCUCUAGAGAAUUAAAGGAUUCAAGCCUUGGGUUGUGAUAUAAUGCAGAAAAUUUAAGGGAAAAUUGAUAUUUUGAGAGCAAGGAGAUGAGCUUGGGACGUUUAGAGACUUAGAGAGAAACUAUGAAAGACUAAAGAAGAUAGGACUUGAGGGGAGAGGCCAAAAUUG